ACGCCACACAGUCACUCAAGAGAUUGAGGAGAGGCUCACAACUGAGAUUGAGCAGAGGAUUACUAACAAGUUAAAGAUAGAGUUUGAACAGAUUCCUUAUGCCUCUGGUGGAAAUCAACGAGUUAGGGAGUCCGUAGGAGAUGACAUCCAAGAUGAUGAAUUGUUGGAUUCUCAUGAGCAGGUUUUGCAGAAAGAUUAGUGGUGUGGUAGAGAUUAAUGGUGGCAUGGAGGCUAAUUGUUUUUUUGAACAUCUAUCUUUAUGUUUUUGCUGCCAUUUUUUCUAUUUUUGUUUAUAGGUUCUGCAGAAAGAAUAGUGGUGUAGUAGAGAUUGAUGGUGGCAUUGGGUCUAAUUGUUUUUUUGGAUAUUAUUUUGGCUGCCAUCUAAACUUAAGUUUUAGAUAAUUCUAUACUUAAUAUUUAGAGCUUAUUGAUAUCUUAUAGUUUAUAUUAACGAAUUAUUGUUAAUAUUUUGAUGUAAUUGAACAGAU
Molecule: non-coding RNA, 488 nt
Organism: Camellia sinensis
Lineage: Eukaryota; Viridiplantae; Streptophyta; Magnoliopsida; Ericales; Theaceae
Source: RefSeq, a predicted model, not a curated record